UACGAGGGGGGCAAGUGUUGUUCGGAAUCACUGGGCGUAAAGGGAGCGUAGGCGGGCUCUUAAGUUGGAUGUUUAAAACCGGGGCCUAACCCCGGCGUGGCAUCCAAAACUGGGAGUCUUGAAUGGAACAGAGGCUAGUGGAAUUGGAGGUGUAGCGGUGGAAUGCGUAGAGAUCUCCAAGAACACCCGUUGCGAAGGCGGCUAGCUGGGUUCACAUUGACGCUGAGGCUCGAAAGCGUGGGGAGCAAACAGG
Molecule: ribosomal RNA, 253 nt
Filed under: uncultured bacterium
Lineage: Bacteria
Description: partial 16S ribosomal RNA
Rfam family: Bacterial small subunit ribosomal RNA
Source: RNAcentral